AAGUCCCGCAAGGGAUAAGUAGAGUGGCAAACGGGUGAGUAACGCGUGGGCGACCUACCUUCGAGUGGGGGAUAACCUUCCGAAAGGAGGGCUAAUACCGCAUGACAUCCCGUGUUUGGAUACACGGACAUCAAAGCCGGGGAUCGUAAGACCUGGCGCUUGAAGAGGGGCCCGCGUCCGAUUAGCUAGUUGGUGAGGUAACGGCUCACCAAGGCUCCGAUCGGUAUCCGGCCUGAGAGGGCGGACGGACACACUGGAACUGAGACACGGUCCAGACUCCUACGGGAGGCAGCAGUGGGGAAUUGUUCGCAAUGGGCGCAAGCCUGACGACGCAACGCCGCGUGGAGGAUGAAGACCUUCGGG
RNAcentral lists this ribosomal RNA (363 nucleotides) under uncultured bacterium. RNAcentral describes it as "bacterial SSU rRNA". It matches the Rfam family "Bacterial small subunit ribosomal RNA", at positions 72 to 422 of the family's 1533-position model. The record is from RNAcentral.